CGGAGGGUGCGAGCGUUGUCCGGAAUCACUGGGCGUAAAGGGCGCGUAGGCGGCGCGGUAAGCACGCGGUGAAAGCCCGGGGCUCAACCCCGGGUCGGCCGUGCGGACUGCCGCGCUGGAGCACUGUAGAGGCGGGCGGAAUUCCGGGUGUAGCGGUGGAAUGCGUAGAGAUCCGGAAGAACACCGGUGGCGAAGGCGGCCCGCUGGGCAGUGGCUGACGCUGAGGCGCGACAGCGUGGGGAGCAAACAGGAUUAGAUACCCUGGUAGUCCACGCCGUAAACGAUGGGCACUAGGUGCCUGGGGGAGCGACCCCCCGGGUGCCGGCGCUAACGCAUUAAGUGCCCCGCCUGGGGAGUACGGCCGCAAGGCUG
RNAcentral lists this ribosomal RNA (372 nucleotides) under uncultured organism. Its description in RNAcentral is "bacterial SSU rRNA". It matches the Rfam family "Bacterial small subunit ribosomal RNA", at positions 526 to 896 of the family's 1533-position model. The record is from RNAcentral.